Anthonomus grandis grandis is the source of this 1915-nucleotide long non-coding RNA. RefSeq lists it as uncharacterized. The record is from RefSeq and is a predicted model, not a curated record. The transcript has 3 exons. Lineage: Eukaryota; Metazoa; Arthropoda; Insecta; Coleoptera; Curculionidae.
GGAUUAUUUUAAAAUAUUUUACGACACAGGUAAAAAUAUAUUUAUUAGAAUAAAGAAUAUAUUUAUAAUAUUAAAUAUAAUAGAUAUUUUAAUUUUCGUUUCCGCAAGAUACCUUAACAAUCAACAAAAAUAAACCAUUUUAAAAUAUUACCAGUUAAGAAAAAUAAUGAGUUCCAAGGGUUUGUUUUAUGAAACUUUACUACGCAAUAUUUUAUAUGCAAUAAUUACAACAACAAGGUAAGCCUAAGUCAUCUUUUUUAAGAUCUUGACAUCAUUUGUCCCCCAAGCAAUAUGGGAUUAUUUUUUGUUCCUUUCAUUCCUUUAAAUCCCUAGAACCUAAAUAUAUCACAACCUUUUUUACCCCUGGCUGAUACAUAGUGGAAGAAGUAAACGGCUAUACAUAAAACUUCAGAUUUUUAACCUUGACAUUCGUUAAUAAUAAGUAAUACUUAUUAGCUUAGAUAGUCUAUUAGGUACUACCUAUUCUUGUAACAGUGACUUUUGUUUUGAUUGCAACUUUUGAAUUUACAUUUAUGUAAGGCAGUUGGCAACCAAAGGAGCUGCUAUGUACACACUACACAGGUCUCCUAAUGGAUCCAUCCUCAGAGAGAUACUAGAGGCCCAAAAGCCUUGGAAAAUCCAAUGAGGCACUCUGGUUUAAAUGCCUUAAUAUCACCGGAUAAACUGGAGUAAUAACUCAGAUAUUUCAAAUAAGCGCGUAUGAGUGCUUGGCACUUCCCAACUAAAGAGUUGCUGAUGCUUUGAAGAUAAGCCUUCGAACAGUAUCAAGGAUAAAAAAUUUCCAAAGACCGAAAUGAGUUGCCCUCAACACCAGGCAAGGACCGGCCACGGAGGAAGGAAAAGACUCAAGAUCUUAAUGAAUUUACAAAAAUGGAUGUUCGUAGUACAGUGUAUGACAUGUAUGCACAAACAAAACAAGUUACAAUUCAUAUGCUAAAGGAAGAGCUACAUCGAAAAGAAAUUCUUCACAUUCGUUAUAGAAGCCUUCGAACACUCCUCUUUAACCUGGGAUUUAAAUACCUUAGGGAUGAUAACAGACGUGCAUUAAUGGAGACAACCAAUAUAUCUUCAAUGAGGGCAGCUUUUUUGAGAAAAUACAUGGAAAACAAAAACUCACCAUUUGCACGUCAACUUGUGUUUUUGGGUGAAACUUGGAUCUUUUCUAAAGGCAGCAAGGUGAGAUCAUGGCAAGACAAUAGUGUUAAGAGUGUUCAUAAGCCAGGUGGUUUUGAUGGAAAACGUUUUAUUGUGUUGCAUGCUGGACAUAGUGGAGGAUUUAUUAAAAAUGCCAGUUUAAUUUUUGCCCCUAAAUCUGAAACAUUGGAUUACCAUGGAGAAAUGAACCACGAACUAUUUACGAAGUGGGUUGAAAAUCAGUUGAUCCCAAAUCUAGAGGAACCUUCAUUAAUUAUAAUGUAUAAUGCUCCAUACCAUUCUGUCCAGCUAGAAAAGCAACCUUCAUCCUCAUGGAAAAAACAAGAAAUUGCUGAGUGGUUAGUGAAAAAUAAUAUACCAUACAAUAGACAAAUGUUUAAGCCUGAGUUAUUAAGCAUAGCAAAAAUGUACAAAAGGCCAAAGCAAUAUAAAAUAGAUAAAAUAUUGCAAGAAAAUGGACAUGAAGUUUUAAGAUUGCUACCCUAUCAUUGUCAAUUUAAUGCGAUUGAGAUGGGCAGAUGCCAAACAUUUUUACAAUACCCAUAUUGGUGAAAAUGGGCAUAAAGAUGAAAAUGUACUGGAUAUGUGGAAAAAAUCAUUAGAGAAAUGUACACCAGAAGUAUGGAACGCUAAGGUUUGCCACACUGAAAAAAUAAUCAAGGACUGGUAUGAUAGGGAAGUCAUUAUUGAAAAGAUACCCCAAAUUUUGAUUAGUUUAAACAGUGAAACUAGCUCGGAA